This 496-nucleotide ribosomal RNA is filed under the name Buergeria japonica (Japanese Buerger's frog). Its description in RNAcentral is "partial 16S ribosomal RNA". It matches the Rfam family "Bacterial large subunit ribosomal RNA", at positions 1890 to 2563 of the family's 2925-position model. The record is from RNAcentral. Lineage: Eukaryota; Metazoa; Chordata; Amphibia; Anura; Rhacophoridae.
AGGUCCAGCCGUCCCAGUGACAAAGUUCAACGGCCGCGGUACCCUAACCGUGCGAAGGUAGCAUAAUCACUUGUUCUUUAAAUAGGGACUAGUAUCAACGGCACCACGAGGGUUAUACUGUCUCCUUUCUCCAAUCAGUGAAACUGAUCUCCCCGUGAAGAAGCGGGGAUAAUUUUAUAAGACGAGAAGACCCCAUGGAGCUUCAAACCUUCAGCAACUUUUAACGUAUAGACCCUAAUAUCUUAAAAGCUAUGUAAAACGGUUUUGGGUUGGGGUGACCACGGAGUAAAAAUUAACCUCCAUGACGUACAGAACUAAACCUUUAUCUAAGAGCUACUACUCUAAGAAUCAGUAAACUGACGUAAAAUGACCCGAUUAUCGAUCAACGAACCAAGUUACCCUGGGGAUAACAGCGCAAUCCACUUUAAGAGCUCAUAUCGACAAGUGGGUUUACGACCUCGAUGUUGGAUCAGGGUAUCCCGGUGGUGCAGCCGCU